RNAcentral lists this small nucleolar RNA (290 nucleotides) under Esox lucius (northern pike). Lineage: Eukaryota; Metazoa; Chordata; Actinopteri; Esociformes; Esocidae. The record is from RNAcentral.
GCCCAAUGAUGAGACCACGGCAAGUAUGAGCUAAUCAGGCUGAGUGUGUUCCUUCCUUCUGAUUGGUGGGUAAUCUUGGUAGUGUGGUGUAGAUUGGCUGCUCUGCUGUAAGGGCCCACCUACAGUAAACUAGCUGUCCUCCACAUUCUCUGCCCAUCCCAAAGAAGUGGAAGAGGGCAGUAUGGAGGCAGCUGAAAGUGUGUGUGUGUGUGUGUGUGUGUCAGUUGGCAAGGAGGCAUCACUCUUUGACUGCCUUUGCUUUGAUUAUUUUCUUUGGUAAUCUGAGGGCA